GGGGCUGUUUGGCUUUGACAGCAGAUAGAAAAGGUAUGUAAGCAGGCAGUGCUCUGUCGGUCCGCACUAUAAAAAGAUUGGCAACAAUUAUCUGGCAACAACAAUUUUGCUCUUGCUGCUUGAUCGAAGUACAGUAGAUCUGCUUAAUCACGGCACAAGGUGCUGUGACAAGACAUCACCCGGAAGCUCUUGCUCCGAAGCUCGGGAUAGUUUCUGAUGGCUUCGCAUCAGGGAUGAGAUUUUAGAAGAUAAGGUUAUGACCCGGUAGCUCUAUCCAAGUUAUGGCUCGAAAAAUCAAGUAGAGAUAAGCCUGUAGAAAGCAUAUGGUUUCUCUGUUUGGACGAGGGUUCGACUCCCUCCAGCUCCAC
This 368-nucleotide transfer-messenger RNA is filed under the name bovine gut metagenome. It matches the Rfam family "transfer-messenger RNA". From Rfam's summary of the family: Bacterial tmRNA, also known as 10Sa RNA or SsrA, is named for its dual tRNA and mRNA-like properties. Its role is to liberate the mRNA from a stalled ribosome. The record is from RNAcentral.